AGUAACGCGUGAGGAACCUGCCUCAAAGAGGGGGACAACAGUUGGAAACGACUGCUAAUACCGCAUAAGCCCACGGUGCCGCAUGGCACAGAGGGAAAAGGAGCAAUCCGCUUUGAGAUGGCCUCGCGUCCGAUUAGCUAGUUGGUGAGGUAACGGCCCACCAAGGCGACGAUCGGUAGCCGGACUGAGAGGUUGAACGGCCACAUCGGGACUGAGACACGGCCCAG
This 227-nucleotide ribosomal RNA is filed under the name uncultured bacterium. Its description in RNAcentral is "partial 16S ribosomal RNA". It matches the Rfam family "Bacterial small subunit ribosomal RNA", at positions 109 to 334 of the family's 1533-position model. The record is from RNAcentral.